UGCCAGCCGCCGCGGUAAUUCGGAGGGGGUUAGCGUUGUUCGGUAUUACUGGGCGUAAAGCGCACGUAGGCGGAUCGGAAAGUUGGGGGUGAAAUCCCGGGGCUCAACCCCGGAACUGCCUCCAAAACUAUCGGUCUAGAGUUCGAGAGAGGUGAGUGGAAUUCCGAGUGUAGAGGUGAAAUUCGUAGAUAUUCGGAGGAACACCAGUGGCGAAGGCGGCUCACUGGCUCGAUACUGACGCUGAGGUGCGAAAGCGUGGGGAGCAAACAGGAUUAGAUA
RNAcentral lists this ribosomal RNA (279 nucleotides) under uncultured bacterium. Its description in RNAcentral is "partial 16S ribosomal RNA". It matches the Rfam family "Bacterial small subunit ribosomal RNA", at positions 506 to 784 of the family's 1533-position model. The record is from RNAcentral.